GGGGUAUGAUGAGUGGUCAAAGCUCGCGAUAAGAAAGGAUGCGAGAGGGGUGUACCGGCCCAAAGCCUGGUUACGACAGCCCGGGCACCCCAAUCAUUUGUAACUUCUGAUCCC
Eucalyptus grandis is the source of this 114-nucleotide non-coding RNA. NCBI's taxonomy places the organism in Eukaryota, Viridiplantae, Streptophyta, Magnoliopsida, Myrtales, Myrtaceae. The record is from Rfam.